RNAcentral lists this unclassified non-coding RNA (644 nucleotides) under Hevea brasiliensis (rubber tree). The record is from RNAcentral. Lineage: Eukaryota; Viridiplantae; Streptophyta; Magnoliopsida; Malpighiales; Euphorbiaceae.
GGUGACAUUGUCAGAGCUCUAGUGGUAUCCUUCGUGCUUGAAGUUCUGCUAUUGUUUUGUGAAAAAUAUCAGUAAAUUAACAUUUAUUGUGGUAUCAUAAGAAAUCAUUUUGCGUGCUAAUUCUUGAUCAACUUAAAUCAUGCAUUUUUUUUAAAGGGUUUUAAUGCUUGGGUAGGAGGUUCCAAUAAAAAUAAAUUCAAAUAUAAUUGUCAUUGACUAAUAUAUGCGUGUAGCACCAGUGCUCUUGAUAUCCAAAUAUCUCAAACUAAUAUUACUGGAUUAUGGCGACAUUAUUAGACUCUGGAUCUAUGGACGUUUCACUGCUGGAAAGGACAAUAGUUUUUCUCUUAUGUUAAUGAUUUCUUGCUGACGUCCACAUCAAUAUUUUCACAUAGAGUUUAGAUGAAAUGUGGAGGAAGCUUGGGUAAAACAAAUGCAGAGUUUUUAAUCUUUGGGAAUUCGGUACACCUUGGAAAGCUGUUAUCCCUAGUUCAAGCCAUUAUUUAGGGAAUUCUUGAAUUGAGUAUAUGUGGCAGAAAAAGGUAAAUUCUCUGAGUCAAUCAAGAUUAGAAUAGGCCUUUUCUUAUCCCAAAUUGGAAUUUUGGCCUUUCCAUCCCUGCUUUCUCUCUUCUCUCUCUCUCUCU